AAACUUAAAGGAAUUGACGGGGCCCGCACAAGCAGCGGAGCGUGUGGUUUAAUUCGAUGAUACACGAAGAACCUUACCCAGGCUUGACAUGUUGGUGGUAGGGAUCCGAAAGGUGACCGACCCUUCGGGGAGCCUUCACAGGUGCUGCAUGGCUGUCGUCAGCUCGUGUCGUGAGAUGUCCGGUUAAGUCCGGUAACGAGCGCAACCCUCGCUGUGUGUUAUAUGUGUCACACGGGACUGCCGGUAUCAAGCCGGAGGAAGUGGGGAUGACGUCAAGUCAGCAUGGCCUUUAUGUCUGGGGCUACACACACGCUACAAUGGCCAGUACAAUAGGUCGCAAGACCGCGAGGUGGAGCCAAUCCUUAAAGCUGGCCUCAGUUCGGAUUGCAGGCUGCAACUCGCCUGCACGAAGUUGGAGUUGCUAGUAAACGCAGGUCAGCCAUACUGCGUUGAAUACGUUCCCGGGGCUU
Molecule: ribosomal RNA, 470 nt
Filed under: uncultured Anaerolineaceae bacterium
Lineage: Bacteria; Bacillati; Chloroflexota; Anaerolineae; Anaerolineales; Anaerolineaceae
Description: bacterial SSU rRNA
Rfam family: Bacterial small subunit ribosomal RNA
Source: RNAcentral